Molecule: ribosomal RNA, 578 nt
Filed under: Sarocladium spinificis
Lineage: Eukaryota; Fungi; Ascomycota; Sordariomycetes; Hypocreales; Sarocladiaceae
Description: eukaryotic LSU rRNA
Rfam family: Eukaryotic large subunit ribosomal RNA
Source: RNAcentral
GAGGAAAAGAAACCAACAGGGAUUGCCUCAGUAACGGCGAGUGAAGCGGCAACAGCUCAAAUUUGAAAUCUGGCCGCAAGGUCCGAGUUGUAAUUUGCAGAGGAUGCUUUUGGCGAGGUGCCUUCCGAGUUCCCUGGAACGGGACGCCAUAGAGGGUGAGAGCCCCGUACGGUAGGACCACCGAGCCUCUGUAAAGCUCCUUCGACGAGUCGAGUAGUUUGGGAAUGCUGCUCUAAAUGGGAGGUGUACGUCUUCUAAAGCUAAAUACCGGCCAGAGACCGAUAGCGCACAAGUAGAGUGAUCGAAAGAUGAAAAGCACUUUGAAAAGAGGGUUAAAAAGUACGUGAAAUUGUUGAAAGGGAAGCAUUCAUGACCAGACUUGGGCUUGGUUGAACAUCCGGCGUUCUCGCCGGUGCACUCUGCCAGUCCAGGCCAGCAUCAGUUUGCCCCGGGGGAUAAAGGCGGUGGGAAUGUGGCACCCUCCGGGGUGUGUUAUAGCCCGCCGUGUAAUGCCCUGGGGUGGACUGAGGAACGCGCUUCGGCACGGAUGCUGGCGUAAUGGUCAUCAAUGACCCGUC